AUUGAACGCUGGCGGCAGGCCUAACACAUGCAAGUCGAGCGGAGCGGCGGACGGGUGAGUAAUGCCUGGGAAGCUGCCUGGUAGUGGGGGAUAACGUACGGAAACGGGCGCUAAUACCGCAUACUAUCAGAUGAGACUAGGUCGGAGUAGCUAGUUGGUGGGGUAAAGGCCUACCAAGGCGACGAUCCGUCACUGGUCUGAGAGGAUGAUCAGUCACACUGGAACUGAGACACGGUCCAGACUCCUACGGGAGGCAGCAGUGGGGAAUAUUGGACAAUGGGCGAAAGCCUGAUCCAGCCAUGCCGCGUGUGUGAAGAAGGUCUUCGGGUUGUAAAGCACUUUCAGUUGGGAGGCGUUACCAACAGAAUAAGCACCGGCUAACUCCGUGCCAGCCGCCGCGGUAAUUC
Molecule: ribosomal RNA, 407 nt
Filed under: uncultured bacterium
Lineage: Bacteria
Description: partial 16S ribosomal RNA
Rfam family: Bacterial small subunit ribosomal RNA
Source: RNAcentral